RNAcentral lists this ribosomal RNA (425 nucleotides) under uncultured bacterium. RNAcentral's name for it is "partial 16S ribosomal RNA". It matches the Rfam family "Bacterial small subunit ribosomal RNA", at positions 354 to 796 of the family's 1533-position model. The record is from RNAcentral.
GUGGGGGAUAUUGCACAAUGGGGGAAACCCUGAUGCAGCGACGCCGCGUGGAGGAAGAAGGUUUUCGGAUUGUAAACUCCUGUCGUUAGGGACGAUAAUGACGGUACCUAACAAGAAAGCACCGGCUAACUACGUGCCAGCAGCCGCGGUAAAACGUAGGGUGCAAGCGUUGUCCGGAAUUACUGGGUGUAAAGGGAGCGCAGGCGGGAAGACAGGUUGGAAGUGAAAACCAUGGGCUCAACCCAUGAAUUGCUUUCAAAACUGUUUUUCUUGAGUAGUGCAGAGGUAGAUGGAAUUCCCGGUGUAGCGGUGGAAUGCGUAGAUAUCGGGAGGAACACCAGUGGCGAAGGCGGUCUACUGGGCACCAACUGACGCUGAGGCUCGAAAGCAUGGGUAGCAAACAGGAUUAGAUACCCGGGUAGUCC